Long non-coding RNA from Hyaena hyaena (striped hyena), 458 nucleotides. RefSeq lists it as uncharacterized. The record is from RefSeq and is a predicted model, not a curated record. Lineage: Eukaryota; Metazoa; Chordata; Mammalia; Carnivora; Hyaenidae. The transcript has 3 exons.
GGGCUGCAGGCGGAUGCUACCUGUCUGGCGAAAUGCUGUUUCUUCCAGAUUGCUGUUGCUGAUUUUUGCCAAACUCCCGUAUUAUUCAUAAUCAACCACGCUUGCCGCGCUCCGACACGAUGUUAGCUCAUGCUUUUGUUCAUGCUGGUGAGUGAGACAAAGCUACAACCACAGAGCUGCAUGUCUGGACGUCACGUCUGCCGACGAUGUUUAACCUGCAUCAGUGACACUUCGUCAUUUCUCAGUCUAGAAAAUCUGCGAGACAAGAAGUCAAGCCUUGAUGUGUAGUGGUGGCCAAUUUCCGUGGUGUGAUUUCCGUGAUCUCAAGCUCCUCGUGGGGACGUCGUGAGACGCAGGGCUGGGAGCAGGUGGGCAGUAAGGCCCGGCCGUGUGGCCCCCCCCAGGCACACCCGGUACCCUCGAGGGCACAGAGAACGGUAACGUGUGGUAAACUAAUU